UAUCAAAAACUAUGGAAUCUUCUCACUGUUCUCAGUCCUCUCCUCUCCAUCCCGUUAGUCUCACAAAAAUCCCCCCUUUUCCUUUUCCCUUUCCCCAAAUCAACCCUAGCAGAAGCAGAUCUCACAUUCUUUUAUUCUCAAAUCUUAAACCCAGCAGAAGCCAACGCCUUCCACUCUCUUUCUCUCAAAACCCCCAUUUUUUUUCUUUAUUUCGUUUGCCUUUGAUCUGAUUGUCUCCGCCUCUCCGGUCUCCAGUUUCCAGUCUCCACUCCUCUGCUUUGUUUGCUGGAUUCUUUCAUUAGUGGUCAGUUAAAUAAUAUUGAACUUGCUGUUAAUCUUGCAACUGGUGCUGAAAAUCUUCCAGCACUAUACAUCCGAAUUGGUGUAUAUAUUAAUUCUUGAACCGCUGGAUACAUGCCGAGGAAGAUCAAAGCAAUGAGGUCAUGUUUAGUUUAUAUAACACACCAACAAAUUAUUUGUUUUAAGUUUGUUAAUUUUUAGUUAAUGAAAUUCUAUGGACAUAAUUGUAUUGUAUUGUAUUUUUAAGUUAUUUAAAUCAUGUAUGAAUUUUUAUUUGAAUCAUGUAUUUUAAGUGUUUGGACAUUUGUAUUGUUUA
This is a long non-coding RNA of Populus trichocarpa (black cottonwood), 616 nucleotides long. RefSeq lists it as uncharacterized. The transcript is spliced from 3 exons. The record is from RefSeq and is a predicted model, not a curated record. NCBI's taxonomy places the organism in Eukaryota, Viridiplantae, Streptophyta, Magnoliopsida, Malpighiales, Salicaceae.